UACGUAGGUGGCAAGCGUUGUCCGGAUUUAUUGGGUUUAAAGGGUGCGUAGGCGGUUCCUUAAGUCAGUGGUGAAAUACUUCAGCUCAACUGGAGAGGUGCCAUUGAUACUGGGGAACUUGAGUACUGAUGAGGUAGGCGGAAUGGACGGAGUAGCGGUGAAAUGCUUAGAUAUCGUCCAGAACACCGAUAGCGAAGGCAGCUUACUAAAGAGUAACUGACGCUGAGGCACGAAAGUGUGGGGAUCAAACAGG
RNAcentral lists this ribosomal RNA (253 nucleotides) under uncultured bacterium. RNAcentral's name for it is "partial 16S ribosomal RNA". It matches the Rfam family "Bacterial small subunit ribosomal RNA", at positions 524 to 776 of the family's 1533-position model. The record is from RNAcentral.